AGCAACUUAAGCUAUUAUGAUCCUAAUUUUACAGCUGAGGAAAAUGAGGCACAAAGAAGUCUGUCUCCGAGGCACUAAAGUUCACAAGAAAUGCUACCUUGCUUCAGAAGGCUUGAAGCAUUUCCAUGAGGCCAAUGAAGACUGCAUUUCCAAAGGAGGAAUCCUGGUUAUCCCCAGGAACUCCGACGAAAUCAACGCCCUCCAAGACUAUGGUAAAAGGAGCCUGCCAGGUGUCAAUGACUUUUGGCUGGGCAUCAAUGACAUGGUCACGGAAGGCAAGUUUGUUGAUGUCAACGGAAUCGCUAUCUCCUUCCUCAACUGGGACCGUGCACAGCCUAACGGUGGCAAGCGGGAAAACUGUGUCCUGUUCUCCCAAUCAGCUCAGGGCAAGUGGAGUGAUGAGGCCUGUCGCAGCAGCAAGAGGUACAUAUGCGAGUUCACCAUCCCUCAAUAGGCCUUUCUCCAAUGUGUCCUCCAAGCAAGAUUCAUCAUAACUUAUAGGUUGAUGAUCUCUAAGGACAAGUAAAAAUUGUAAUUUUUACUUAUUAAAAAAUUGCAACACAG
RNAcentral lists this small RNA (564 nucleotides) under Pongo abelii (Sumatran orangutan). Its description in RNAcentral is "processed transcript". The record is from RNAcentral. Lineage: Eukaryota; Metazoa; Chordata; Mammalia; Primates; Hominidae.